Molecule: transfer RNA, 77 nt
Filed under: Escherichia coli
Lineage: Bacteria; Pseudomonadati; Pseudomonadota; Gammaproteobacteria; Enterobacterales; Enterobacteriaceae
Description: tRNA-Met
Rfam family: tRNA
About the family: Transfer RNA (tRNA) molecules are approximately 80 nucleotides in length. Their secondary structure includes four short double-helical elements and three loops (D, anti-codon, and T loops). Further hydrogen bonds mediate the characteristic L-shaped molecular structure. tRNAs have two regions of fundamental functional importance: the anti-codon, which is responsible for specific mRNA codon recognition, and the 3' end, to which the tRNAs corresponding amino acid is attached (by aminoacyl-tRNA synthetases). tRNAs cope with the degeneracy of the genetic code in two manners: having more than one tRNA (with a specific anti-codon) for a particular amino acid; and 'wobble' base-pairing, i.e. permitting non-standard base-pairing at the 3rd anti-codon position.
Source: RNAcentral
GGCUACGUAGCUCAGGUGGUUAGAGCACAUCACUCAUAAUGAAGUGGACACAGGUUCGAAUCCCGACGUACCCACCA